UGAUUUCUUUUACCCAUAUCCUCAAAGGAAACAAAUUUCUCUGACAGUUCUACAGAUGGUAUCACAUCUGCCCUUUGUUCAUCCUUUCAUACAACAACUUUUAAACUUUUUAUUGAGUGCCUACUAUGUGCCAGGCCCCACGUGAGGCCAGGGAUUAGGAAACUACAAGCCAGAGGGCCAAAUCCAGUCUACUGUCUGGUUUUGUAAAUAAGGUUUAUUGGAACACAGUCACACUCAUUCAUGUAUGUGAAUUGCACGGCUGAGUUCUGGCAAAGCUGCAUAGUUGUGACAGAAAUCAUCUGGCCCACGAGCCAAAAUACUUACUAUCUGGCCAUUCACAGAAAAAAGUUUGAUGAACCUACUCUAGAUAAAGAGGAUACAGUGGUAAAGAACAAUAACAAAGUCCCCGUGGGUCUUCAGAUGUUCCUGUUUCUAGGACUGCAGUGGAUGACUGCUUACUGCCUAAAGGGGCUGACCAAGUUCGACCCACAGGAUCACAGUCAAUGCCACUUCUAGGGGCGUGCAAGAAUGAGAAUAAGGACGACAGGUGUGGACAGAUGUGCAAGAGCAGGUGCGAGAGAGGAAGUGUUGGGAAAGUGGAUUAGUUAGUGUGGAAACCAGCUGGAACAGGCAGGCCACAGGGAUUCCCCCAGAGGGACACCCAAACCCACGGAUGGGCCAGGGACCACAUGUAUCAGAAUCACCUGGAGACAUGAUUAAAAAUGCAGGUUAGCAGGCCCCACCCAGGAACCUGGAUCUGAGUUCCAGAGGUGUGUCUGAGCUUCCACAUUCUUAGCUGGCACCCCCACGUGAUUCUGAAGCGCGCUCAAGUUUGAAAGGCACUGGAUUAGUGUUUAGUUUUCGUGAGCGGUCGAAGGCGCUCCCAACGCGGUCUGGCCUGAAAUCCACUCGUGGCAGUUCUUUAUAGACAAUUUAGGCAAAGCCAGAGACACAGCACAUCUGGAUCAUCAUCAAGUCCCUUAUAUUCCUGUGAAAAAGACAGAAAUAUGUGCCUUUGGGUGUCAAGACAAUUGCCAGAACUUGUUACUCAUUAAAUGAUCAUGCCCCAUACAUGUCUACUUAGGGUUCUCAAGGGCCAGGAGACCCCAACAGUAUGUCACAGGCCUCUGACUUUGGAUCCAAUUGUGCAAUGUUUUCAUCAACGCGAUGAUGAAAAAUAAUGGAAGCUUACUUUUCAGAUCUGAGAUGAUACCAAAUACAGAAGAAAAGCAAGGUUGUGAGGUGCUAAAAUCAAUAGCUGUGAAGACCCCAACAACAGAGAAGAUCUAUUUUUAAAACUGUUAAACGCUUUAUUCAGAUGGAAAUCUGAUAUAGAAAUACAAUAUAAACCCAAGGACAGAGGAGCUGCUGUGUCUGAAAUGGGAGAGAACACCUGAGCCCUGACUCUCAAAUCCCCUUACACCAUUCCCUCCUCUACUUUUCAAGAAGGCUCCUCAGUGACCCCCCAAGGGGCUCCUGACACUUACAUGGGGCAAUCUAACAUGAAGAAAUUUAACAAUCACAUCAAAUCUACAAAGGGCAGACAGCUCAUCCUUACUUUUGCCUUUUGAGAUAAUGAAAUAAAUAACUUUGUAGGUUCUCUGAG
This is a long non-coding RNA of Herpailurus yagouaroundi (jaguarundi), 1606 nucleotides long. RefSeq lists it as uncharacterized. The record is from RefSeq and is a predicted model, not a curated record. Lineage: Eukaryota; Metazoa; Chordata; Mammalia; Carnivora; Felidae. The transcript has 2 exons.